GCACUGUUGAGGAGUACCAAAACAGGACGAAACGGCCGUCCAGUGC
Molecule: non-coding RNA, 46 nt
Organism: Schistosoma margrebowiei
Lineage: Eukaryota; Metazoa; Platyhelminthes; Trematoda; Strigeidida; Schistosomatidae
Source: Rfam